AGCUCUCUGCUAAAGGUUACUGAAGUAUAGGGGGUGAAUUCUGCCCAAUGGUUGUACAGUGAAACUAAGGACUAACGUCUAAAGCGAAACCCAACUGAAUGGCCGCGGUAACUCUGACCGUGAUAAUGUAGCACAAUAAAUAGCCAAUUAAUUGUUGGCGGGUAUGAAUGGAACCACGAGGGUCUUACUGUCUCAAGAGGAAAGCCGAUGAAAUUAUAGUUGUAGUGAAGAUACUACAUAAACAUUGUAAGACGAAAAGACCCUAUCGAGCUUUACUGGAUACCGAUAGCGUUAACCUAAAAUGAUCGAUACUAAGUACCCUAAUUUUAAGUUAAUAAUUUUUGUUGGUAGGACAGUUUAGUUGGGGCGACUACCUUUGAAUAAGAAACGAAGGCGAGCUUAUGGUAUACAAAGCUAAUCUCAUUAGCCUGAUAGUGAGGGGGACACCCCUAGCUGGCACAAGGACUACGUCCUAUGUGGGCGAUAAUGACCCGAUAUAAUAGUCCAAAAUAAAUAUCGAAAGCGGAUAAAAGCUACCGUAGGGAUAACAGCGUAAUAUUGUCGGAGAGUUCUUAUCGAGGACAGUGUUUGCGACCUCGAUGUUGAAUUGCGGUGCCCUGGUGCUGUAGAAGGUACCUGAGGUUGGUCUGUUCGACCAUGAAAACCGU
Molecule: ribosomal RNA, 668 nt
Filed under: Antillogorgia bipinnata
Lineage: Eukaryota; Metazoa; Cnidaria; Anthozoa; Malacalcyonacea; Gorgoniidae
Description: partial 16S ribosomal RNA
Rfam family: Bacterial large subunit ribosomal RNA
Source: RNAcentral